CUGUUACAACCUCCUCUUAGGUUACAUGAACCUCCUCUUAGGUUAUAUGAAAGACUCGACCCUGAGUCCUCUCUCCUUGUACUCUUAGUCUGCCUCAGUUAACACUAGCUCCUGAUCGAGCUAGUCAUCUAGGUCCAUCUGCUGUCACCGAUUGUUGCUAACUAUGAGUUGGUUGUCCAUGGCUCUUAUUCUGCUCAACAGUCCUCUAAGGACAUUCCUUCCGGCGAUGUCCAAUCUCGCCAUAAUGAUAACAAGGGCAUCUAGAUAUGGGUACUCCUUCCAUCGGUACUCCUCCUGUCUACAUAUAUAACAUCGAUUGGGUAUGGCUGAACAAUCCCCUGGAUGAUUCCGCUCACACAUCACACAUUAAAGAGAUGGUCUGCCAGAUGAGAAGUCAGAAGUCUUACUUUUCUCAAAUUCAUUUCGGCCUUGAUUUUCUGCUAUACAUGUUUCUAAAGCCCGAGUCACUUCAAUUAGCUCCCUUACAGUUUUAAACUGGAAAGCAAUCAAUGCUUGUUUCAAAUUAGGUCUCAAUCCAUCUCUCAAUCUAUCAACGAUAUGCUGCUCAAAGCGUAUAUAUAGGGGAGAAAACAUAAAAAGUUCAUGGAAUCAUCAUUCAUACUCCAUCACCGACAUUUUUUUUUUCUCAGUGCUAAGAACUCUUGUUCCUUUAUUUUCCGGUCUUCUAAUAUAAAACUUGUUUUCAAAUUCCAUCCUGAAAUCUCCCGAAGUCAUCACAUCUACAGUUUUUCUUAUCUUCACUGCUUCCCACCAUGUUAGUGCACUACCCGACAACAACUGAGCAACACAAUUUACUAAUAUAUUAAUUGGUGCCUCAAUGUCCGCUCCACCUUCACAAUCCAUCUUCCUGUAAUCUCAGCAUCCUGCUCACAAUAAUACCAUUCACACCCCAAUUAUCUCAUGCUUUUUGCCAUCUGACAAAAACAACAACAUUAUCUCUAGGGGUUGGCGCUGCAACUGUAGGUGUUGUUAGUGCCACUGAUGUUGUAGCACUAGACAUGCCUAACAUUGUAACCUUCACGAUCUGCUCUGGAUACACUAGUUCUAUGUGCACACUCGGUGCUGCUGUAGGGGCUACCGAUGGAGGCUCCUCUCCCUGUCUCGGUAAGUCUUGUCCUUUAAAUUGCAUAACCCCUUCCCAUCGGGAUGCAGAAUCAUCUCAGUGUCUAAAUGGCUCCCCUCGUCAAGGCUGAAUGGAUGCUGCUUAUAUAUAGGAUUCAGUAUAUGCUAACAGAUCUUCUUCCAGACCAACCUCGGGUCAUGCACUAGCAUUCCUCUCCCGUGCCAUAGAUGGAUCCAUUUGAGCUCCUUAUCGAGUGGUCACCAUUCUGAAACAUUUCAUCAUAAAUCAAUUUCGCAAUCAAGUCAUAAAAUUAUUUCAUGCUA
Molecule: long non-coding RNA, 1407 nt
Organism: Populus nigra (black poplar)
Lineage: Eukaryota; Viridiplantae; Streptophyta; Magnoliopsida; Malpighiales; Salicaceae
Exons: 2
Source: RefSeq, a predicted model, not a curated record